GUCCCUAUCGUCUAGAGGCCUAGGACAUCGCCCUUUCACGGCGGUAACCGGGGUUCGAAUCCCCGUAGGGAUGCCA
Molecule: transfer RNA, 76 nt
Filed under: Acinetobacter junii
Lineage: Bacteria; Pseudomonadati; Pseudomonadota; Gammaproteobacteria; Moraxellales; Moraxellaceae
Also listed under: 1 other name
Description: tRNA-Glu
Rfam family: tRNA
About the family: Transfer RNA (tRNA) molecules are approximately 80 nucleotides in length. Their secondary structure includes four short double-helical elements and three loops (D, anti-codon, and T loops). Further hydrogen bonds mediate the characteristic L-shaped molecular structure. tRNAs have two regions of fundamental functional importance: the anti-codon, which is responsible for specific mRNA codon recognition, and the 3' end, to which the tRNAs corresponding amino acid is attached (by aminoacyl-tRNA synthetases). tRNAs cope with the degeneracy of the genetic code in two manners: having more than one tRNA (with a specific anti-codon) for a particular amino acid; and 'wobble' base-pairing, i.e. permitting non-standard base-pairing at the 3rd anti-codon position.
Source: RNAcentral